RNAcentral lists this ribosomal RNA (364 nucleotides) under uncultured bacterium. Its description in RNAcentral is "bacterial SSU rRNA". It matches the Rfam family "Bacterial small subunit ribosomal RNA", at positions 29 to 424 of the family's 1533-position model. The record is from RNAcentral.
AACGAACGCUGGCGGCAGGCCUAACACAUGCAAGUCGAACGCUCCGCAAGGGGAGUGGCGCACGGGUGAGUAACACGUGGGAACCUACCUUCUGGUACGGAACAACCAAGGGAAACUUUGGCUAAGACCGUAUACGACCUCCGGGUGAAAGAUUGAUCGCCGGAAGAGGGGCCCGCGUCCGAUUAGGUAGUUGGUGAGGUAACGGCUCACCAAGCCUUCGAUCGGUAGCUGGUCUGAGAGGAUGACCAGCCACACUGGGACUGAGACACGGCCCAGACUCCUACGGGAGGCAGCAGUGGGGAAUAUUGGACAAUGGGCGCAAGCCUGAUCCAGCCAUGCCGCGUGAGUGAUGAAGGCCUUGGUU